GACGAACGCUGGCGGCGUGCUUAACACAUGCAAGUCGAACGGAAAGGCCCUGCUUUUGUGGGGUGCUCGAGUGGCGAACGGGUGAGUAACACGUGAGUAACCUGCCCUUGACUUUGGGAUAACUUCAGGAAACUGGGGCUACUACCGGAUAGGAGCUCCUGCUGCAUGGUGGGCGUUGGAACGUUUCGGCGGUUGGGGAUGGACUCGCGGCUUAUCAGCUUGUUGGUGGGGUAGUGGCUUACCCAGGCUUUGACGGGUAGCCGGCCUGGGAGGGUGACCGGCCACAAGGGGACUGAGAUACGGACCAGACUCCAACGGGAGGCAGCGGUGGGGAAUAUGGCACAAUGGGCGGAAGCCUGAGGCAGCAACGCCGCGUGCGGGAUGACGGCCUUCGGGUUGUAAACCGCUUUCGGCUGUGACGAAGCGGGAGUGACGGUAAUGGGUAAAGAAGCACCGGCUAACUACGUG
RNAcentral lists this ribosomal RNA (468 nucleotides) under uncultured bacterium. RNAcentral describes it as "partial 16S ribosomal RNA". It matches the Rfam family "Bacterial small subunit ribosomal RNA", at positions 28 to 507 of the family's 1533-position model. The record is from RNAcentral.